GAUGAACGCCGGCGGCGUGCCUAAUACAUGCAAGUCGAGCGAACAGACGAGGAGCUUGCUCCUCUGACGUUAGCGGCGGACGGGUGAGUAACACGUGGAUAACCUACCUAUAAGACUGGGAUAACUUCGGGAAACCGGAGCUAAUACCGGAUAAUAUAUUGAACCGCAUGGUUCAAUAGUGAAAGACGGUUUUGCUGUCACUUAUAGAUGGAUCCGCGCCGCAUUAGCUAGUUGGUAAGGUAACGGCUUACCAAGGCAACGAUGCGUAGCCGACCUGAGAGGGUGAUCGGCCACACUGGAACUGAGACACGGUCCAGACUCCUACGGGAGGCAACAGUAGGGAAUCUUCCGCAAUGGGCGAAAGCCUGACGGAGCAACGCCGCGUGAGUGAUGAAGGUCUUCGGAUCGUAAAACUCUGUUAUUAGGGAAGAACAAAUGUGUAAGUAACUAUGCACGUCUUGACGGUACCUAAUCAGAAAGCCACGGCUAACUACGUG
RNAcentral lists this ribosomal RNA (497 nucleotides) under uncultured bacterium. RNAcentral's name for it is "partial 16S ribosomal RNA". It matches the Rfam family "Bacterial small subunit ribosomal RNA", at positions 28 to 507 of the family's 1533-position model. The record is from RNAcentral.